CCUACGGGAGGCAGCAGUGGGGAAUCUUGUGCAAUGGGCGAAAGCCUGACACAGCCACGCCGCGUGCGGGGAGAAGGCCUUCGGGUUGUAAACCGCUUUCAGCAGGAACGAAAAUGACGGUACCUGCAGAAGAAGAUGCGGCCAACUACGUGCCAGCAGCCGCGGUGAUACGUAGGCAUCAAGCGUUGUCCGGAUUUAUUGGGCGUAAAGAGCUCGUAGGCGGUUCAGCAAGUCGGGUGUGAAAAUUCUGGGCUCAACCCAGAGACGCCACCCGAUACUGCUUAACUUGAGUUCGAUAGGGGAGUGGGGAAUUCCUAGUGUAGCGGUGAAAUGCGCAGAUAUUAGGAGGAACACCGGUGGCGAAGGCGCCACUCUGGAUCGACACUGACGCUGAGGAACGAAAGCAUGGGCAGCAAACAGGAUUAGAUACCCUGGUAGUCCAUGCGGUAAACGGUGGGCACUAGGUGUGGGUUUCUAUUAACGAAAUCCGCGCCGUCGCUAACGCAUUAAGUGCCCCGCCUGGGGAGUACGGUCGCAAGACUAAAACUCAAAGGAAUUGACGG
RNAcentral lists this ribosomal RNA (563 nucleotides) under uncultured bacterium. RNAcentral describes it as "bacterial SSU rRNA". It matches the Rfam family "Bacterial small subunit ribosomal RNA", at positions 338 to 916 of the family's 1533-position model. The record is from RNAcentral.